GGGGGGGGGGGGGGGGGGGGGGGGGGGGGGGGGGGGGGGGGGGGGGGGGGGGGGGGGGGGGGGGGGGGGGGGGGGGGGGGGGGGGGGGGGGGCGGCGGAUGCAAAUGGCUCAUUUCAGAAACCUGUCUUGACAAAGUGGAAGGAUAGAAUUUGAUUUUUGAGAGCUCUCUGAUCAGUGUUUCUAGGGUUUUGGUGUCAUUACCUUCUUUCUUUCCCCUCCGUUAUAUAUAUAUAUAUAUAUAUAUAUAUAAAAUAUAUUUCCCCUCAUUAUACAUAUUUUUGUCUAUGCUUAUCCUUAUUUUCCUACCUGUGCUGUGGCCAGGAGGAUGUACAGAACCAAACAACGUACAGGUUUGGUGAUGAUGGGACGUCAGAGGAACACUCGGAUGCAUAGAAACACCUGCCAGCAAGAGCAGGAAUGUAAAAAAUGGAUACUCGUGCUUUCAGGAGUCGUUCCCAGCUUCCAAAAUGCACGGGGAGAGGAGAGAGGGAGGAAGGAAGAAAAGAGACCAUUUCCCACGAGGCAGACCACCAGCUCCACAGGUGACAGCAGUGCUGAGGCUCCCAAGCGCCUGCCCUGCAGCAGCCCAGAGGAAAAGCAUGAAGGAAGCAACCUUCCUUGCCAAGGUGCAGCCCUUCCCCAAUUGUUGUGUCUUUUAUUAGUAUUACUAUCCUUAAAAAUCCUCCCCAAAGCAACAACAACAACGCCCCCCCAAAAAAAAAAAACAACCCCAAAACCAACAAACAACAAACAAACAAGCAGAACAACAACCAAAAAAACCCAGCUGUCCCAGUUUUGCAGCAUCAGUCAAGGCUUUAGAGCUGCAGAAGGGUUGUGUCUGUGUGCACGGCCUGAGCCCUUCUGGGGGUUUUGUGCUCUCUCAAGACUGAGUUCAGGUUCCACAGUGUGCAAUGGGAUAGAUUUAUGUGCGUUGCACGUGCACCUAAAUUCUGCAAAGUAG
Molecule: long non-coding RNA, 962 nt
Filed under: Ficedula albicollis (Collared flycatcher)
Lineage: Eukaryota; Metazoa; Chordata; Aves; Passeriformes; Muscicapidae
Description: lncRNA (ENSFALG00000028183.1)
Source: RNAcentral